AUAUAAAGGAUGAGCUAGUGCGCCCAACUAGCGGCACCAGCCACGUCUCCUUUUAUUCGCCAUCCUCUUCGCGUCGUCCGGCCUCCCCUGCUCCACGACCCUCUGCCUCAGGGCCUCCCGCGCCGCCGCCUUCUCUUCCGGGCCUCUUCUCUGGCGCUCGAUGCAGCCGGGGCGACCUCCUCCUCUUCCUCUCCUCCUUCCCUGCCUCCGGAUCCAGACCAGUGAAAUCUGGAGGGGAGACGAGUAAAGGGCGACUGAGGCGACGGUCGAGCAGAUGAGAGGAAGAGAGAAGGAAGAAGAGGCGACGCUCGAGCAGAUGAGAGGGAGAAAGAGGUAGGUGCAGCAAGGCGACAGACGGGAGAGGGCCGAGGGCGAGCUCCAGCGCGAGCGCGUGGACCUGUCACCCACGCCGGCGAGGUCCUCAGCCCCGAGCUGCGCCUCUACCACCGCGAAGGCGACUGCUGCGACCAUGCUCGUGCGCACACACACUGUGCCGUCUCCAGGUGCCAGUUGAAGUUACUGCUGGGCUUUAUUUCCCUCCUCUGAUUUGGUGUUGUGGGAGAAAGAAGAAGAGCAGGCAUGUUCUCUAUUUCUACAUCCAGCGUCCACACGGCUAGAUCGACAGGUCUAAACUCUUGAAUACAGAAAGAGUAAGCUACUAGCAUUCCUAAUGUGCAAGUAAACCUACUGGGAUUAUGACUGCAAAAAAAAUUCAUGACAUGUGAGCAAUUCUCAAUUUAGAUGCUGUGAGCUUAAAUAACAAGAACUAAACUGUUGUGCCAUGUUCAGAAUUGGUAAUAGAAAAGAUAAUCUAAACGCACAUCCUGAAAUUAUCUAGACUCCUGCCUUUGGGGAAUUAGGUUGCUAAGCAUUACUUUGUAAAUAAAUGACAUGCUAACUUGCUGGUUCAGUUUAAAGCUAUAGGCAGGGGCUUGCGGUAGUGGGGAUAUCAUUGUGGCAGUUGAAAACCAAAACACUUAUUCAUGAGUGUAUGAUCUGGACUGCGCUUUUCUGAAAGUAUGUUACGAUCCUGCUCUUGGGAGAUUAAGCUGUUGUGGUUUUGCUUCAUACAGGGCCGGCUUUGGACCAGAGCGAGAGGUGCGACGGCCCGGGGCCCAGACUAAAAGGGGGCCCAUAGUAUAUAUGCAGUAUAUAUAUUAUAUAUUACGGAUUAGUGGAAAAAAAAGAAUGACUAACGUCCAGCCCAGGUAGCUCUGAGCCCACCCAGCAAGCAGCACGCAACCACCACUAGGGCCUGCCCAACCAAGCCCAGGCAACGCACGUUGCCCUGUCGUUCGCCUGGAAUCUAGGGAGACGCACCGACACAGGAGCACGGAGACGCAUCGACACAGCAGCACGCCGCCUGACGCCGACACCAGCGCACCGCACCGAACCUGGAGCUGAGUUUGGGAUCAAAUCAGCAAGAAUUCGGGGACUUCAUAAAUAAUUGGCAUGCUAAAACAUUGGUUGUUGUUUCAGUGGUGGGGACCAAUAAUAGAAAGAAGUUGCUUCCUUAGAUGGUUGGUUAGGUCGUGGGUGCAGCAAGGAAAGGGACACCUGAUGACGGUUCUGGACUUGAGGUCUAACAAAAAGUAUUGUUCAGUGUAGUGUUUUUCUGGUUUCUUGAUCAGUGUGUCAGAGGCCAUGAAUUCUUUUCAUGCUUGCAAAUAUUUUUUUGAUUGUAUUUGAAAAGUAUACCCCGAUUGAGAGUCUAGGAGGGAUCUUGCUGAACAAAUAUACCUGACUUCAUGAAUGUCUGUACAGUUAGUCAGAGAUGAAAUGACAAGCAGCUCUCCUGCGUCGUUCGAGAAGAAAAGAAAACAAAAGACGAGGAUUAUAUAAUCCCACUUUAUGCUUACAGUUAGUCCAAGAUUCAAGUGAUUAUUUGUGCCGUGGUCGCUACAACAAAUCAUCUAAAAUAAGCUACUAGCGUUUUUUUAUCCAAGCUUUCUUGCUUAGAAUUAGAUAAUAUACGCCUGCUUCAUACAUAUUACUCUUUCUGAGAGGGGCAUGAUCAUCAUGAAAUCAGCAAAUUAUAUACGCAUAUGUGCUUUACUAAAUAUUAUUCUCUUUGUAUACCUUCUUUAUUUUUAUUAGAGAAACGGUUGAGAUAGUACACUCAGACUAAUGCAUUGCAUGUCUUUUUGUGCUUAAACCAGAGGCAAAAGCACUUUAAAAUAUGUUCCGCUGCCUCUUCUCCUCUUCAUUGCUCUGCUUCUUCCCCUGAUUCCUCUUUUUCGUUUUUUCUCUUUGUGGCGCCGCCGAGGAUGAGUGGAGCAGCUGCUGAAGCAGGCGCGGCGCUGGUGCGCUGCUGGCGAAGCGGUGGUCAACGGUGCCGUCGACGUUGUCCUUGGCAGAAGUUAUCCCCAUUGGCUUGUGGAUAUGCUCCUGCUGGGUCGUUCUUGUUUAUUUUCUCUAUCCAACAUCAUUGCAGGUUGGUGUUUCCUCUCUUUCUCACUGCAGCUACCGCCUACCUAUGCCUCUAUUAUUCUAGGAUUUUGCAAGUUAAAUACUCAUGUGUGCUGAACUGAAAAGUUCUCUAUGUAACAUCUAUUGCAGGUUGGUGUUUCCUACCUAUGCCUCUAUUAUUCUAGGAUUUUGAAAGUUAAUUGCUCAUGUGUGCUGAAUUGAAAAGCUCAAUGAAAGGCACUUAUUUCUAUGCACAAAUGCUUUUGUUGCUAUAAGAAUCUGUAGAGAAGAAAUAUAUACGUCUCCUCUGUUCAUUGCCCUUUUUUUGCGGGUAGUUCAUUGCCAUUUUGGAUUCAUAUGUGAAGUCUAUUGUUGUUAAUUACAGUUAACUAAUUUAUUAAUUCAUGGUUGUUUUAGUUGCUGACCAUAUAAUUCGUAGCCUUGGACAGAAGAGGCCAGCAACAAACAGAAGCAACCACUGUCCUGUCCAGAACAUGCAGGGAUCAGCUUUGGUGGCAUCCGAUGCUGGCAGGCCACGGGGUUAGAGCAGAGGAAGCUGACAUGGUGUUCGAAAUUCAGAUGGUCAUUGUGAUAGAAGAAAGUGCAUAAAGAAUGAGCAAGGAAAAGCUACAGAUUGAUAUGUCCAGGUACAAGACUCGGGCAACGGGCAGGUACAAGACUCGGGCAACAGUUAAUGGACACAAUGAAUCUAUGCUAAUAUAGCUUACUUUAUAAAGCCAUCAAUGUAUGCUAUUAUCAAGUGUUUUGAAUAUUUUAUUUUAAGCUAUAUAAGUAUUCAUUAACUUUGUUCUAAAUUAGUCUAAUAUGCAUGGUUUGAAUGC
Molecule: long non-coding RNA, 3251 nt
Organism: Triticum dicoccoides
Lineage: Eukaryota; Viridiplantae; Streptophyta; Magnoliopsida; Poales; Poaceae
Exons: 6
Source: RefSeq, a predicted model, not a curated record